UGAUGGUCACAUCAACUGGAUCAGUGAUUUAUUAUCAGCUAUAUGUAUGACCAAUCACCCGAUUGAUUUUGCUUAAGAAAUGUAGGGGCCUGACAUAAAUUCUGCUUUUGACUAACAAGGAACAGGAUGCAUUACUUGCCUCAAAUUAAU
Molecule: long non-coding RNA, 150 nt
Organism: Nymphaea colorata (pocket water lily)
Lineage: Eukaryota; Viridiplantae; Streptophyta; Magnoliopsida; Nymphaeales; Nymphaeaceae
Exons: 3
Source: RefSeq, a predicted model, not a curated record